Non-coding RNA from Misgurnus anguillicaudatus (oriental weatherfish), 518 nucleotides. Lineage: Eukaryota; Metazoa; Chordata; Actinopteri; Cypriniformes; Cobitidae. The record is from RefSeq and is a predicted model, not a curated record.
GUUAGCUUUGUUUGGGAUUCAGCCCAUGUGUUUGUGCUCCCUCUCAUAUAUGGCAUCUAAAGUCCUUUUGUGGAGAACUCUUUGAGUUUCAGCUCUACUAAAGGACUUUUUGUUAUACAUGGAAAAAAAAGAUAAACCUCGUUGUUUUGAGUGAAGUUUGUUGGUAGCAACUAUAUUCUGAAGGAAUCCUUGUGUCUUCAUUUAUGGUCUUCACCAGUGGAUUAAUUCUGUUUUCUGUCAACAUUGGAACUGAGUGUUGCUUUUAUUGCUGUGGCCUCUUGGCAGCGUUGAGGACAGCGGGCCUAUGGACAGAAUUCCAGUUUACCUUGUCUUCCAAUGAGGAAUUGGGGAUUUAAUAAUUGUAUCAAAUUCAAGUAUUGCUCUGGACUUUGAACUUUAACAUUGUCAUCUAAACUUAAAUGUAAUGAAGACUCAUGAUGUUGUUUCUAUGUAUAUAUUGUUUUCUUUGAAUAUGUUUGGGAGCAUAUGUGGGAUAAAUAAAAUAAGGAGAUCAUUGA